GGAAUAUUAGCAUGGCCCCUGCGCAAGGAUGACACGCAAGGAUCGUAACUGUGGAUCAGUUUCU
This 64-nucleotide small nuclear RNA is filed under the name Megaselia scalaris. The record is from RNAcentral. Lineage: Eukaryota; Metazoa; Arthropoda; Insecta; Diptera; Phoridae.